Molecule: non-coding RNA, 477 nt
Organism: Pelobates cultripes (western spadefoot toad)
Lineage: Eukaryota; Metazoa; Chordata; Amphibia; Anura; Pelobatidae
Source: the annotation of a GenBank genome assembly
CUGAAUUUUCUUCAUAGAGAUGCAUAUAUUCAAUGCAUCCCUAUGAAGAGGUGCUAAUUGGCCAAAAUGACGUUUGGCCCUGCCCCCUUGCUGAUUUUAGCCAAUCCAAUGCUUUUCCCAUGGGAAAGCAUUGGAUUGGCUAAAUAUUGGCAAUUCUGAUGAUGUCACCAAGUUGGCGGGGCCAGUGCCGGUGGACCCGCACGGCGCUAGAAACAAGGUGAGUUUUAAUUGCUUUUAAGGGGGCUUAGUGGGGGGGCAAGCCACCUAAAUGGGUCAGGAAUAGACCACUAUAGAGUCAGGAAUACAUGUUUGUGUUCCUGACCCUAUAGUGUUUCUUUAACAUACAUUUCAAGAGCACUCAAAGUUUGGAUAAAUAAUUUUAAAGAGGACUGUGACUAAAGCAACUUUGCCACUGGUUCUUGGAGGGGACUACUUGCCAGCCUUUUACCCUGUGACUAUGGCCCCUUUAAUUUGUUU